RNAcentral lists this unclassified non-coding RNA (306 nucleotides) under plant metagenome. RNAcentral describes it as "partial contains 5.8S ribosomal RNA, internal transcribed spacer 2, and large subunit ribosomal RNA". The stretch from base 1 to 105 matches the Rfam family "5.8S ribosomal RNA", at positions 50 to 154 of the family's 154-position model. The record is from RNAcentral.
GAAAUGCGAUAAGUAAUGUGAAUUGCAGAAUUCAGUGAAUCAUCGAAUCUUUGAACGCACAUUGCGCCCGCCUGUAUUCUGGCGGGCAUGCCUGUCCGAGCGUCAUUUCAACCAUCAAGCCCCCGGGCUUGUGUUGGGGACCUGCGGCUGCCCGCAGGCCCUGAAAACCAGUGGCGGGCUCGCUGUCACACCGAGCGUAGUAGCAAUCACCUCGCUCAGGGCGUGCUGCGGGUUCCGGCCGUUAAACAGCCUUACAAAACCCAAGGUUGACCUCGGAUCAGGUAGGAAGACCCGCUGAACUUAAGC